RNAcentral lists this ribosomal RNA (468 nucleotides) under uncultured bacterium. RNAcentral's name for it is "partial 16S ribosomal RNA". It matches the Rfam family "Bacterial small subunit ribosomal RNA", at positions 28 to 507 of the family's 1533-position model. The record is from RNAcentral.
GACGAGCGCUGGCGGCGUGCUUAACACAUGCAAGUCGAACGGAAAGGCCCUGCUUUUGUGGGGUGCUCGAGUGGCGAACGGGUGAGUAACACGUGAGUAACCUGCCCUUGACUUUGGGAUAACUUCAGGAAACUGGGGCUAAUACCGGAUAGGAGCUCCUGCUGCAUGGUGGGGGUUGGAAAGUUUCGGCGGUUGGGGAUGGACUCGCGGCUUAUCAGCUUGUUGGUGGGGUAGUGGCUUACCAAGGCUUUGACGGGUAGCCGGCCUGAGAGGGUGACCGGCCACAUUGGGACUGAGAUACGGCCCAGACUCCUACGGGAGGCAGCAGUGGGGAAUAUUGCACAAUGGGCGGAAGCCUGAUGCAGCAACGCGGCGUGCGGGAUGACGGCCUUCGGGUUGUAAACCGCUUUCGCCUGUGACGAAGCGUGAGUGACGGUAAUGGGUAAAGAAGCACCGGCUAACUACGUG